Triticum aestivum (bread wheat) is the source of this 124-nucleotide non-coding RNA. NCBI's taxonomy places the organism in Eukaryota, Viridiplantae, Streptophyta, Magnoliopsida, Poales, Poaceae. The record is from Rfam.
CUAUUGCUCCCUCCGUCCGAAAAUACUUGUCCUAGAAAUGGUUGUAUCUAGACUUAUUUUAGUUAUAGAUACAUCAAUUUUAUCUAUUUCUAGGACAAGUAUUUUCGGACGGAGGGAGUAGUUU